Molecule: transfer RNA, 72 nt
Filed under: Ovis aries (sheep)
Lineage: Eukaryota; Metazoa; Chordata; Mammalia; Artiodactyla; Bovidae
Rfam family: tRNA
About the family: Transfer RNA (tRNA) molecules are approximately 80 nucleotides in length. Their secondary structure includes four short double-helical elements and three loops (D, anti-codon, and T loops).
Source: Rfam by way of RNAcentral
UCCCUGGUGACUUAGAUGGUAAAGAAUCUGCUUGCAAUGCAGGAAACUCAGGUUCGAUCCCUGGAUCGGGAA